RNAcentral lists this ribosomal RNA (569 nucleotides) under uncultured bacterium. Its description in RNAcentral is "partial 16S ribosomal RNA". It matches the Rfam family "Bacterial small subunit ribosomal RNA", at positions 355 to 913 of the family's 1533-position model. The record is from RNAcentral.
UGGGGAAUAUUGCACAAUGGGCGCAAGCCUGAUGCAGCCAUGCCGCGUGUGUGAAGAAGGCCUUCGGGUUGUAAAGCACUUUCAGCGAGGAGGAAGGUGGUGAGCUUAAUACGCUCAUCAAUUGACGUUACUCGCAGAAGAAGCACCGGCUAACUCCGUGCCAGCAGCCGCGGUAAUACGGAGGGUGCAAGCGUUAAUCGGAAUUACUGGGCGUAAAGCGCACGCAGGCGGUUUGUUAAGUCAGAUGUGAAAUCCCCGGGCUCAACCUGGGAACUGCAUUUGAAGCUGGCAAGCUAGAGUCUCGUAGAGGGGGGUAGAAUUCCAGGUGUAGCGGUGAAAUGCGUAGAGAUCUGGAGGAAUACCGGUGGCGAAGGCGGCCCCCUGGACGAAGACUGACGCUCAGGUGCGAAAGCGUGGGGCAGCAAACAGGAUUAGAUACCCUGGUAGUCCAGCGCUGUAAACGAUGUCGAUUUUGGAGGUUGUGCCCUUGAGGCGUGGCUUCCGGAGCUAACGCGUUAAAUCGACCGCCUGGGGAGUACGGCCGCAAGGUUAAAACUUAAAUGAAUUGC